RNAcentral lists this unclassified non-coding RNA (307 nucleotides) under Hevea brasiliensis (rubber tree). The record is from RNAcentral. Lineage: Eukaryota; Viridiplantae; Streptophyta; Magnoliopsida; Malpighiales; Euphorbiaceae.
UCAAAUCUGAUGAGAAGACUAGUAAAUAUGAAAAGAACACUCAGUCUCAGACGGAUAAUGGAGAAGAAGAGACAAGUCAGAAGGAGAAAACGUGUGACGAUAUUAGUGUCACUGUUAGAAAGAGGGGAAGAGUAAAGCUUAAAAAAUUGCCCUUGAGUAUUUGUUCUUUCAGGGACCAGACAACUCUCAAGGAAGAUACGAAUAAUGGAAGUUCCCCAAUAUUGACUGGGCAAAACACGGGGUCACCCACAUCUGAAAAAGUUGUUUUGCAAAACACGGGGUCACCCACAUCUGAAAAAGUUGUUUU